ACGAGCUCUCCAAAUUGAUUUUAUGCUUGCAUAAAUGAUUUUUGGAUUCGGAGCGAGUGGCGAACUGGUGAGUAACACGUGGGUAACCUGCCCCGAAGCGGGGGAUAACAUUUGGAAACAAGUGCUAAUACCGCAUAAUUAGUUGGAACCGCAUGGUUCCAACUUGAAAGAUGGCUCUGCUAUCACUUUGGGAUGGACCCGCGCCGUAUUAGUUAGUUGGUGAGAUAAAAGCCCACCAAGACGAUGAUACGUAGCCGACCUGAGAGGGUAAUCGGCCACAUUGGGACUGAGACACGGCCCAGACUCCUACGGGAGGCAGCAGUAGGGAAUCUUCCACAAUGGACGAAAGUCUGAUGGAGCAACGCCGCGUGAGUGAUGAAGGUUUUCGGAUCGUAAAACUCUGUUGUUAAAGAAGAACAAGUGUUAGAGUAACUGUUAACACUUUGACGGUAUUUAACCAGAAAGCCACGGCUAACUACGUGCCAGCAGCCGCGGUAAUACGUAGGUGGCAAGCGUUGUCCGGAUUUAUUGGGCGUAAAGCGAGCGCAGGCGGUUUUGUAAGUCUGCUGUGAAAGCCCUCAGCUCAACUGAGGAAGUGCAGUGGAAACUACAAAACUUGAGUACAGAAGAGGAAAGUGGAACUCCAUGUGUAGCGGUGAAAUGCGUAGAUAUAUGGAAGAACACCAGUGGCGAAGGCGGCUUUCUGGUCUGUUACUGACGCUGAGGCUCGAAAGCAUGGGUAGCGAACAGGAUUAGAUACCCUGGUAGUCCAUGCCGUAAACGAUGAAUACUAGGUGUUGGAGGGUUUCCGCCCUUCAGUGCCGCAGCUAACGCAUUAAGUAUUCCGCCUGGGGAGUACGACCGCAAGGUUGAAACUCAAAGGAAUUGACGGGGGCCCGCACAAGUGGUGGAGCAUGUGGUUUAAUUCGAUGCUACGCGAAGAACCUUACCAGCUCUUGACAUCUUCUGCCAACCCAAGAGAUUGGGCGUUCCCUUCGGGGACAGAAUGACAGGUGGUGCAUGGUUGUCGUCAGCUCGUGUCGUGAGAUGUUGGGUUAAGUCCCGCAACGAGCGCAACCCUUAUUAUUAGUUGCCAGCAUUUAGUUGGGCACUCUAGUGAGACUGCCGGUGAUAAACCGGAGGAAGGUGGGGACGACGUCAAAUCAUCAUGCCCCUUAUGAGCUGGGCUACACACGUGCUACAAUGGAUGGUACAACGAGUCGCGAAACCGCGAGGUCAAGCUAAUCUCUUAAAGCCAUUCUCAGUUCGGAUUGCAGGCUGCAACUCGCCUGCAUGAAGUUGAAUCAC
This 1308-nucleotide ribosomal RNA is filed under the name Apilactobacillus kunkeei. Its description in RNAcentral is "bacterial SSU rRNA". It matches the Rfam family "Bacterial small subunit ribosomal RNA", at positions 53 to 1335 of the family's 1533-position model. Lineage: Bacteria; Bacillati; Bacillota; Bacilli; Lactobacillales; Lactobacillaceae. The record is from RNAcentral.